This 259-nucleotide ribosomal RNA is filed under the name uncultured prokaryote. RNAcentral's name for it is "partial 16S ribosomal RNA". It matches the Rfam family "Bacterial small subunit ribosomal RNA", at positions 524 to 782 of the family's 1533-position model. The record is from RNAcentral.
UACGGAGGAUGCGAGCGUUAUCCGGAUUUAUUGGGUUUAAAGGGUGCGUAGGCGGCCUUGUAAGUCAGCGGUGAAAUUUUACAGCUUAACUGUAAAAGUGCCGUUGAUACUGUGAGGCUAGGAUUUGGUUGCUGUGGGUGGAAUGUGUGGUGUAGCGGUGAAAUGCUUAGAGAUCACACAGAAUAUCGAUUGCGAAGGCAGCUCACAAAGCCAAGAUUGACGCUGAGGCACGAAAGUGUGGGGAUCAAACAGGAUUAGA